GUGGGGAAUCUUGCGCAAUGGGCGAAAGCCUGACGCAGCCAUGCCGCGUGAAUGAUGAAGGUCUUAGGAUUGUAAAAUUCUUUCACCGGGGACGAUAAUGACGGUACCCGGAGAAGAAGCUCCGGCUAACUUCGUGCCAGCAGCCGCGGUAAUACGAAGGGGGCUAGCGUUGCUCGGAAUUACUGGGCGUAAAGGGCGCGUAGGCGGACAGCUUAGUCAGAGGUGAAAGCCCAGGGCUCAACCUUGGAAUUGCCUUUGAUACUGGCUGUCUUGAGUUUGGGAGAGGUGAGUGGAACUCCGAGUGUAGAGGUGAAAUUCGUAGAUAUUCGGAAGAACACCAGUGGCGAAGGCGACUCACUGGCCCAAUACUGACGCUGAGGCGCGAAAGCGUGGGGAGCAAACAGGAUUAGAUACCCCAGUAUCC
RNAcentral lists this ribosomal RNA (424 nucleotides) under uncultured bacterium. Its description in RNAcentral is "partial 16S ribosomal RNA". It matches the Rfam family "Bacterial small subunit ribosomal RNA", at positions 354 to 795 of the family's 1533-position model. The record is from RNAcentral.